CCUAGACCAAUUUACUACAAAAAGUUUUAUAAAGUUUAUUUUAUACUUCUUUGCCUAGUUACUAAACGAUGUGUAGAUUGUGAUUCAGGCAGGUAGACAAGCAACCACCCUAGAGCCAAUGGGCAACCGAGCGACGAUCCUGUCACAGUAGCCAAGUGCCCCCUGUAGCUGGCGCCGUCCCCAGGGGCCCACGAGGUGGAUGGAGGCGGUGGGAAUGCGAAAUGAAUAACAGACGCGGGCCCGGUGAUGGUGAGAAUACUGAUGCUGGACUGAUGAAGUGCCAACUCCACUGAUACCUCACCAUAUUAUUUGUUUUACAUAGAGCAAUCCAAUAUUUUUUAUACACUUUUGAAGUGUAUUAUCAAUAAGCAUAAUAAAUAAUAAGAGUUUUUGGACAAACAAAAUAAACACUUGAAAAGUAAUGUUAUCUGUUUAUGUAAAGAGUUUGUCACAUUUUAUACUAAUUGGUUUAUAUAAUUUCAUUAUAAUUCUCAUAAUGUGUAAUAGAUUGCAUAAAAUUGUUAUUAAAAACUCUAUUUACUAAA
Long non-coding RNA from Nilaparvata lugens (brown planthopper), 545 nucleotides. RefSeq lists it as uncharacterized. NCBI's taxonomy places the organism in Eukaryota, Metazoa, Arthropoda, Insecta, Hemiptera, Delphacidae. The transcript is spliced from 3 exons. The record is from RefSeq and is a predicted model, not a curated record.